Molecule: long non-coding RNA, 1227 nt
Filed under: Marmota monax (woodchuck)
Lineage: Eukaryota; Metazoa; Chordata; Mammalia; Rodentia; Sciuridae
Source: RNAcentral
AAACAAUUCAAGUUACUCAGAACAUAUUCUUUAACUACAGUAAUUAAAUUAAAAAUCAACACCAGAAAGAUCUGGAAUACUUCCAAAUAUUUGGAAACUAACAUACUUCUGGAGACAGUUUAUUGUUGCAUCUUGUUUUUUAAUCCAGUUUGCCAGUCUAUCUUGAUUCAUGUGAGUUUAGGCCAAGUACAUUCAGUGUUAUUAUUGAGAAGUGGUUUUUAUUUCCUGUCAUUUUAUUUCUGGUUUUUAACUUGAAAUAGUUUCUCCUUUGAUUGGCUAUUCUAGUGUUAUUCCUCCCUCUGCUGGUUUUCACUUUUGUCAUUUCUUCAUGAAAUGCCAUACUGAACAUGUUUGUGGUGCAGGCUCUGUAGAGUUGUGAAUGUUUUUAACUUUUUUAUUAUUAUGGAAGGUUUUUAUCUCAUUGUCAAUUCUGAAGGUUAAUUUUACUGGGUAUAAUAUUCUUGGCUGGUAUCUAUUCUCUUUCAGAGCAAGCUCUGUGUGUGUGUGUGUGUGUGUGUGUUCCAAGACCACCUAUCUUUGAGGGUCUGGGUUGAGAAACCAGCUGAGAUUCAGAUUGGUUUCUCUCUUAAGGUGACCUGUUGUUUUUCUCUGGCGGCCUUUAAAAUUUUAUUCUUAUUCUGUAUGUUAGACAUUUUCAUAAUAAUGUGCCUUAGUGUGGGUCUGUCGUAGUUUUUUUAUAUUUGGGGUCCUUGUAAGCCUCCUGUGUUUGAUUUUUCCAUUUCCCAAACUAUGUUUGGGAGUUUUUCUGGUAUUAUUUCAUUGAAAAGAUUGUGCUUCCUUUCAUUUCCUUCAUCCCAAUAAAUCUUAAAUUUGGACUGAAGUUCAGGUUAUCCCAUAUUUCUUGGAAGUUCUGUUUAUGGUGUCUUUAACAUCUUUUCUCCAUGUUCUACUUUAAUUUGAAGAUUAUCUAUUUUGUCUUCAUUGCCUAAAACUGUCUUCCAUAUGGUCUAGUUUGUUGGUGAUGCUUUCCAUUGAAUUUUUAAUUUGGUUUAUUAAUUCCUUCAUUUCAAGGAUUCUGCUUGAUUUUUUUUUUCAAAAAUCUCUCUAUUGAAAUGAUCUUUCACUUCCUGUAUUUUCUCCCUGAUUUCACUCCUUACUUUUUUUUGUCCCUUUCUCGCAUAUCAGUUUAACUAUAUUCAUUCUAAACUCCUCUGACAUUUCUUCCACUGUGGCGUCAAUAGAUUCUGUUAUUGGAGUAUCUUGGUU